CUAGGAAACUUAAUUCUUGUUUUAUUUUGGAGCAUCGAUGAAGAACGCAGCGAAAUGCGAUAAGUAAUGUGAAUUGCAGAAUUCAGUGAAUCAUCGAAUCUUUGAACGCACAUUGCGCCCGCCAGUAUUCUGGCGGGCAUGCCUGUCUGAGCGUCAUUU
RNAcentral lists this ribosomal RNA (159 nucleotides) under Clonostachys rosea. RNAcentral describes it as "5.8S ribosomal RNA". The stretch from base 32 to 156 matches the Rfam family "5.8S ribosomal RNA", at positions 30 to 154 of the family's 154-position model. From Rfam's summary of the family: 5.8S ribosomal RNA (5.8S rRNA) is a component of the large subunit of the eukaryotic ribosome. It is transcribed by RNA polymerase I as part of the 45S precursor that also contains 18S and 28S rRNA. The record is from RNAcentral. Lineage: Eukaryota; Fungi; Ascomycota; Sordariomycetes; Hypocreales; Bionectriaceae.